GAAUAUUGGACAAUGGGCGAAAGCCUGAUCCAGCCAUGCCGCGUGUGUGAAGAAGGUCUUCGGAUUGUAAAGCACUUUAAGUUGGGAGGAAGGGUAGUAACUUAAUACGUUGCUAUUUUGACGUUACCGACAGAAUAAGCACCGGCUAACUUCGUGCCAGCAGCCGCGGUAAUACGAAGGGUGCAAGCGUUAAUCGGAAUUACUGGGCGUAAAGCGCACGUAGGUGGCGACUUAAGUCGGAUGUGAAAGCCCUGGGCUUAACCUGGGAAUUGCAUCCGAUACUGGGUGGCUAGAGUACGGUAGAGGGAGGUGGAAUUCCAGGUGUAGCGGUGAAAUGCGUAGAGAUCUGGAGGAACACCGGUGGCGAAGGCGGCCUCCUGGACUGAUACUGACACUGAGGUGCGAAAGCGUGGGGAGCAAACAGG
This 425-nucleotide ribosomal RNA is filed under the name uncultured bacterium. RNAcentral describes it as "bacterial SSU rRNA". It matches the Rfam family "Bacterial small subunit ribosomal RNA", at positions 359 to 776 of the family's 1533-position model. The record is from RNAcentral.